RNAcentral lists this ribosomal RNA (468 nucleotides) under uncultured bacterium. RNAcentral's name for it is "partial 16S ribosomal RNA". It matches the Rfam family "Bacterial small subunit ribosomal RNA", at positions 28 to 507 of the family's 1533-position model. The record is from RNAcentral.
GAUGAACGCUGGCGGCGUGCUUAACACAUGCAAGUCGAACGGAAAGGCCCUGCUUUUGUGGGGUGCUCGAGUGGCGAACGGGUGAGUAACACGUGAGUAACCUGCCCUUGACUUUGGGAUAACUUCAGGAAACUGGGGCUAAUACCGGAUAGGAGCUCCUGCUGCAUGGUGGGGGUUGGAAAGUUUCGGCGGUUGGGGAUGGACUCGCGGCUUAUCAGCUUGUUGGUGGGGUAGUGGCUUACCAAGGCCUUGACGGGUAGCCGGCCUGAGAGGGUGACCGGCCACAUUGGGACUGAGAUACGGCCCAGACUCCUACGGGAGGCAGCAGUGGGGAAUAUUGCACAAUGGGCGGAAGCCUGAUGCAGCAACGCCGCGUGCGGGAUGACGGCCUUCGGGUUGUAAACCGCUUUCGCCUGUGACGAAGCGUGAGUGACGGUAAUGGGUAAAGAAGCACCGGCUAACUACGUG